This 427-nucleotide long non-coding RNA is filed under the name Theobroma cacao (cacao). Its description in RNAcentral is "long non-coding RNA (TCAC_LNC003884)". Lineage: Eukaryota; Viridiplantae; Streptophyta; Magnoliopsida; Malvales; Malvaceae. The record is from RNAcentral.
CAAUACAAUUGGCAGUUUUAUACCACAUCAUUUGUCACGUGGCAUGUUGAUGUGCCAUUUUAUUUUAUCUAUGCAAAUUUAUAUUAAUUUUCAUAUUAAAGAGAAAUAACAAUCCUUCUCCAAGUGAAAUUGUUCCUUUUAGUCCUUUUAAAUUCGCAACAUCCUUCUUUGUGAUCUCCUACCUCAAUAAUUAAUUUAUCAAAACUCUUCUUCCAAAAGAAGAAACAAAGAACAUUCAAAACCAUAAGGAUGAACAAUCCAAGCUUGUUUGAUGAUACCAUUGAUACUGAGAAAUAAGUCACCAAGGAUUCAGAGCAAGAAGAUCAACUCUUAAAGAAAGCCCUUUUCUUUUUGGUCAAUCCAUCCUCUUCCUAUAGCUUAUCAUAACGUUGCUUCAUAGAUAGAAACUCCUUCAUGUAAUGGUGAG